AACGCUAGCUACAGGCUUAACACAUGCAAGUCGAGGGGAAACGACAUCGAAAGCUUGCUUUUGAUGGGCGUCGACCGGCGCACGGGUGAGUAACGCGUAUCCAACCUGCCCACCACUUGGGGAUAACCUUGCGAAAGUAAGACUAAUACCCGAUGAUAUCCCUAGACGACAUCUGAAAGGGAUUAAAGAUUUAUCGGUGAUGGAUGGGGAUGCGUCUGAUUAGCUUGUUGGCGGGGUAACGGCCCACCAAGGCGACGAUCAGUAGGGGUUCUGAGAGGAAGGUCCCCCACAUUGGAACUGAGACACGGUCCAAACUCCUACGGGAGGCAGCAGUGAGGAAUAUUGGUCAAUGGGCGAGAGCCUGAACCAGCCAAGUAGCGUGCAGGACGACGGCCCUAUGGGUUGUAAACUGCUUUUAUAAGGGAAUAAAGUGAGUCUCGUGAGACUUUUUGCAUGUACCUUAUGAAUAAGGACCGGCUAAUUCCGUGCCAGCAGCCGCGGUAAUACGGAAGGUCCGGGCGUUAUCCGGAUUUAUUGGGUUUAAAGGGAGCGUAGGCCGGAGAUUAAGCGUGUUGUGAAAUGUAGGCGCUCAACGUCUGCACUGCAGCGCGAACUGGUUUCCUUGAGUACGCACAAAGUGGGCGGAAUUCGUGGUGUAGCGGUGAAAUGCUUAGAUAUCACGAAGAACUCCGAUUG
Molecule: ribosomal RNA, 696 nt
Filed under: uncultured bacterium
Lineage: Bacteria
Description: bacterial SSU rRNA
Rfam family: Bacterial small subunit ribosomal RNA
Source: RNAcentral